GGGGUAUAGUUCUUCGGAGCUAGAGACCGGCGCACGGGUGCGUAACGCGUAUGCAAUCUACCUUUUACAGAGGGAUAGCCCAGAGAAAUUUGGAUUAAUACCUCAUAGUAUUACAACUCGGCAUGGAUAUGUUAUUAAAGUCACAACGGUAAAAGAUGAGCAUGCGUCCCAUUAGCUAGUUGGUAAGGUAACGGCUUACCAAGGCUACGAUGGGUAGGGGUCCUGAGAGGGAGAUCCCCCACACUGGUACUGAGACACGGACCAGACUCCUACGGGAGGCAGCAGUGAGGAAUAUUGGACAAUGGGCGCAAGCCUGAUCCAGCCAUGCCGCGUGCAGGAUGACGGUCCUAUGGAUUGUAAACUGCUUUUAUACGAGAAGAAACACUCCGACGUGUCGGAGCUUGACGGUAUCGUAAGAAUAAGGAUCGGCUAACUCCGUGCCAGCAGCCGCGGUAAUACGGAGGAUCCAAGCGUUAUCCGGAAUCAUUGGGUUUAAAGGGUCCGUANGCGGUUUAAUAAGUCAGUGGUGAAAGCCCAUCGCUCAACGGUGGAACGGCCAUUGAUACUGUUUAACUUUGAUUAUU
This 584-nucleotide ribosomal RNA is filed under the name Flavobacterium sp. FlavoEI_XDFr2BF5_D05_36. Its description in RNAcentral is "bacterial SSU rRNA". It matches the Rfam family "Bacterial small subunit ribosomal RNA", at positions 66 to 651 of the family's 1533-position model. Lineage: Bacteria; Pseudomonadati; Bacteroidota; Flavobacteriia; Flavobacteriales; Flavobacteriaceae. The record is from RNAcentral.